CAGUUACCCAGCAUGCAUCAUGAGUGGGAGUGAUGUCUGGCUGGUGCCGUAAGCGAAGUUGCCUGUUCGUCGUGAAAACCGCAAAUUAACUGGAAUAAUCAAGCCGAUUGGUUUUAAAAGUAGCUUAAGUCGGUUUCGCUCGCCGUACUCAGUCAAGAAAUGUGACAAAACGCCAAAAUUACGACGAAGUGGUGACAGUAGUGGCGGCUCUGUGCUGACGUAUUCUCCAUUGUACCUCUUGUGUGCCUCGAUCUUACGGACUCUAUAAAACCAUGAAAGAAUGCAACCUAAUGGCUAAGAGGAAAGCGCAGUGUUUCUUAAUAUUGAACGGAUUUUAAUAAUUGUAGGGAAAUUAAGUGCUUUCAUCAUGUCUGGUAAUCAGCUUAUGGAUUCGUGUCUCUUGGUGAACCGACGAGUGGAACAAAGACAAGAGCACAGCAUCACACAUACUGAAAUCACGCAAAGGCGAGUUUUGCAAGAGAAGGUGCCCGAAAUGCAGCAUUAUAAGGGUCCGGACGCAGGGAGUUCUGUAAACGAAGGAGCCUAUCAUUCGCAUAGCAAUGGACAUUCAGAGCAUUCACCAAAUUCCAGCCAUAUGUCAGUUCAUAGUGAUGAGCCUUUAGUGCGCACACAUAAGCAGCAAACCACCCAGCAAGUGACGACCGUGACGAAGGUCGUGCGGGAAGUGCAACAGCUGGGCGACGGUCAACCAGGAGAGUAUAUACCGGUGCCGCUGGGUUCGUAUUCGCACCCUACGCACGCUCGGAAUCAGUACGUUGAUUAUAUGGAACAACCUGCCCACCAUAUGUAUUCUCAGUAUCAUCAACACCCACACUACCAAGACUACGAGCAUUAUCCUAAUCCGUAUGGCGCGUACAUGGGGUACCCGACGGGCGCGGAGCGGCCCCCCACUCCGCCCAGUCCGAGCGAACACAGCGGGGCUCCCUCGCCCAUCCCCAUAAGCGCACAGCCUGGGGUUCCGUAUUUGAGCUCGGGGUACGACGAAUUACCGGAGCAUUUCAGGGUGACCCCGUCUCCGGGCGGGCCGAUAGGGUUGGACCCUUACCAGGACGACCCAGGGGUCGUUUACGGGUACGUCUCGCCUUCUCCUUACGGCACCGCACCCGUUCACCAAGGACCAACAUACGAUUCACGUCCAUACGAAGAUAGUCUCAAUGGUCCGGUUCCGGUGGGUGCGCCGAUGAGGAUGUUCGAGGACGAAGAGCUGCAAAAGCACAUGAGCAAAAUGUCACUGCACGGUCACAGCAUGGGUUUACCUCAUAACAGAGCACACAAUAUGGCCUCCCCGGGUAGCGUUGGGGGGGACGACGAUCAAAGGGGUAUGCGUUGGCGCGAUCCGAAUUUAACCGAAGUCAUCGGUUUCCUCAAUAAUCCUAAUAAUGUUAUUAAAGCUAAUGCAGCGGCCUAUCUUCAACAUCUCUGUUACAUGGAUGACCCCAAUAAACAAAAGACUAGAGCUCUCGGCGGUAUACCUCCUCUCGUAAAAUUAUUAAGUCACGAAAGUGUAGAAGUAUAUAGGAACGCUUGCGGUGCAUUAAGGAACCUUUCGUACGGAAGGCAAAAUGACGAAAACAAAAGAGCGAUCAAAAACGCGGGAGGCAUCCCCGCAUUGAUUAACCUUCUAAGAAGAGCCAACGAAGCCGAAAUCAAAGAAUUAGUUACAGGCGUUAUAUGGAACAUGAGCUCUUGCGAAGAUCUAAAACGUAACAUUAUUGACGACGGUAUUAACACCAUCGUAAACUAUAUUAUUAUUCCACAUUCCGGCUGGGAUCCUCAGGGGAACCACGGCGAAACUUGUUGGUCGACAGUAUUCAGAAAUGCUUCAGGUGUGCUUAGAAAUGUUAGUUCAGCGGGCGAGUACGCCCGAAAAAAGUUACGAGAAUGUGAAGGACUGGUCGACGCGUUGUUGUUUGUUGUACGCUGUGCCAUAGACAAAUCUAACAUAGGCAAUAAGAUAGUCGAAAAUUGCGUGUGUAUUCUGCGCAAUCUUUCCUAUCGUUGCCAAGAAGUAGAAGACCCCAACUACGACAAGAAUCCUUUGCCAACGCAAAGUCGGGUCGCCGCUAAUUCGAAAGGUGAAAAUCUUGGCUGUUUCGGCGGAAGCAAGAAGAAGAAAGAUUCGCAGAGUACUGAAGUAAAGGAGAGUACUUCCGGUGUAUCUACCGUUGGUACCGGUGCGAAUAGUGCAGCCGCAAGAGGUGAACCAGUCCGCGGAAUGGAACUUCUUUGGCAGCCGGAAGUUGUGCAAUCUUACUUGGCUCUCCUGCAGAGUUGCUCAAAUCCUGAAACGUUAGAAGCUGCUGCUGGUGCUCUUCAAAAUUUAGCAGCGUGUUACUGGCAGCCGAGUAUAGAAAUUAGGGCAGCCGUACGUAAAGAAAAGGGGCUGCCGAUUCUUGUCGAAUUAUUGCGAAUGGAAGUCGAUCGAGUAGUAUGUGCCGUAGCGACCGCUCUCAGAAAUCUAGCGAUAGAUCAACGUAACAAGGAGUUAAUAGGGAAAUACGCAAUGCGUGAUCUCGUUCAAAAAUUGCCCUCUGGCAAUCCACAACACGACCAGGGUACUUCCGAUGACACUAUAGCGGCGGUUCUCGCUACAUUGAACGAAGUCAUCAAGAAGAACGCCGAGUUUUCGAGAUCUCUGUUAGAAGCAGGUGGAGUUGAAAGACUGAUGACCAUAACGAGACAGCGACAGAAGUACACUCCUAGAGUUUUAAAAUUUGCUGGUCAAGUAUUAUUUACGAUGUGGCAACAUCAAGAUCUGCGCGACGUUUACAAGAAACAUGGUUGGAAAGAACAAGAUUUUGUUACAAAGACUGUGGCAGCUAGGAAUUCUGGUCCUAAUUCUCCAAAUAAUGCUAAUAGCACUUUGAAUAGACCCAUGGCAUCGCAAAGCGGCACGCGAUAUGAAGAUAGAACGAUGAAGAGAUCUGCUCCAGGCGCUCGAGGUGUGGCUCCGGUGUAUCAAAGGAACGAAGAUAUUCCAAUGGCUGAUAUGGCAUACCCAGAAACGCAACCCCCGAUGGGGCGAGCGUACCCUCCUGGCCCUGGUCCAAACCCACCUCCAGUAAGUCACUAAUUAACCACUUGCACAAACCCUACACGUCCGUGUCAAUUCAUCGCGUUUAAAUAAAAAAAAUUAAAAAAAAAACAAAAAUAAAUUAAUAUUUGGUGAAGGUGGAUCUGGACUGAGCACAGACUUUUGCUCAAGUUAGCAAUAUGGCAACUUUCAUUCCAUGUACAUCUCAUAGUAUACUAACGAACACGACGGCCUCAACGUCGAUUACGGCAUUCACUUAGACUGUUAAUAAUCUCGAUGUUCAUGUACAGUACAAGUUACAAGUACAGUCGUAGGUGAUUUGUAGCAGCAUCCUCUGUUCCGUAUUAUGUAUGGAGCCCUUGACUGUAAGAGUUUUUACUACAUUUUUACUGAUUUGGUCUGGAGCAUAGUCUUCCUUGUACUCUCACUAUGUACUAGCUGUGUCUGUAUCUAUACCUGUAGCAUAUGACAUAUGAUUUGUAAACAUUGAUACGAUACGAGCUGUGUUGUGGUGGGGUGGGCAGCGAGCGAAGGCCCUGGCAGCAGCGUCGUCGCCGGCGCCGACCGGUGCCCAGCCGGAACCUCUCUACGCGCAGGUCAACAUGGAGAAGAAACGAAAUCGUCAACCCAGCUUGGGCAACGCUAACCAUCUGGACGAGCCGCAG
RNA transcript from Zophobas morio, 3720 nucleotides. It is a transcript of the gene named catenin delta-2, with no coding region annotated. The transcript is spliced from 9 exons. The record is from RefSeq and is a predicted model, not a curated record. Lineage: Eukaryota; Metazoa; Arthropoda; Insecta; Coleoptera; Tenebrionidae.